RNAcentral lists this unclassified non-coding RNA (221 nucleotides) under plant metagenome. RNAcentral's name for it is "partial contains small subunit ribosomal RNA, internal transcribed spacer 1, and 5.8S ribosomal RNA". The record is from RNAcentral.
UUUCCGUUGGUGAACCAGCGGAGGGAUCAUUACAGAGUUGCAAAACUCCCAACCCUUGUGAACAUACCCGUUACAGUUGCUUCGGCGGGCAGCCCCAGGGCGGGGCUGCAGCCUCUUCUCACGAGGCGCCCGCCGGAGGUAUAUAACUCUUUGUAUUUGUUGGUCUCUCUGAGUAAAUUUAUAAUAAGUCAAAACUUUUAACAACGGAUCUCUUGGUUCUG